This 66-nucleotide transfer RNA is filed under the name Parnara guttata (straight swift). Its description in RNAcentral is "tRNA-Thr". The record is from RNAcentral. Lineage: Eukaryota; Metazoa; Arthropoda; Insecta; Lepidoptera; Hesperiidae.
GUUUUUAUAGUUUAAAUUUAAAACAUUGGUCUUGUAAAUCAAAAAUAAGAUUUUUCUUUAUUAACU